RNAcentral lists this ribosomal RNA (476 nucleotides) under uncultured bacterium. RNAcentral describes it as "bacterial SSU rRNA". It matches the Rfam family "Bacterial small subunit ribosomal RNA", at positions 28 to 517 of the family's 1533-position model. The record is from RNAcentral.
GAUGAACGCUGGCGGCGUGCCUAAUACAUGCAAGUCGAACGAGGUGCUUUUGUAGCAAUACGAGAGUAUCCUAGUGGCGAACGGGUGAGUAACGCGUGGAUGACCUGCCCCAAAGUGUGGGAUAACAGUCCGAAAGGAUUGCUAAUACCUCAUGUGGUUAUCGGUUUUAGAAAGCGAUAACUAAAGCAGCAAUGCGCUUUGGGAGGGAUCUGCGUCCCAUCAGCUAGUUGGUGAGGUAACGGCUCACCAAGGCGACGACGGGUAGGGGACCUGAGAGGGUGGCCCCCCACAAUGGAACUGAAACACGGUCCAUACACCUACGGGUGGCAGCAGUAGGGAAUAUUGCUCAAUGGGCGAAAGCCUGAAGCAGCAACGCCGCGUGUGCGAUGAAGGCCUUGGUCGUAAAGCACUUUCUAAGAGAUGAGAAAGGACAGUAUCUUAGGAAUAAGUCUCGGCUAACUACGUGCCAGCAGCCG